Molecule: non-coding RNA, 1164 nt
Organism: Linepithema humile (Argentine ant)
Lineage: Eukaryota; Metazoa; Arthropoda; Insecta; Hymenoptera; Formicidae
Source: RefSeq, a predicted model, not a curated record
CUGAGAUCGCUAUUUCAGACCUAAAAGAGAAUCACCGAACAGUAUUUCUGCAAAAACGGAGUAAAAUCGACCUUCGUUGAUACGUUUUCAGAAACAAACAAACUGUUUGCCUCACAGAGUCAGAUCCUUUAAAUUCUGAUCUGCCAGUUCCUCAAGUUACGGCUCGACCGCUCUUCCUCAGAAGAAUCGGACGCUGUAAUCAAGGUUCUGCGAACACGAUUGUGCUGAUAAAUGUGGUAUCCUAUCAGAGUAUUGCAGAUUACUAUCACACACGACAGCAGAUAUUGCCGUUUUUUUUUACCAUUUCAUAGAACAUGGUCUUAUACAGAUAAAACAUAUAUAAAAUGCUGCGUAAAAUCGCUAGUCCCAUCAGCGUGAUUACCACAAUUUUUGCUCGUUUGACAGUGCACCAGAAUCAACGUAGAAGCGGAUACUUUGUCACUAUGAAUCUCUCGAUGGUAAAGGCUACUAUAAGCCACACACUCAAAAAUUCGGAAAAAAAGUACAGAAAGUCCAAGAAAACUAAGUUAUAAUUUGAUAGAUCUAUAUGCAUUAUUUGGAGCCAAUUAAUGAGUGAUAUCAUCAAAUAGACGAUGUCGCUCAUUGCUAACACGCCCAAGUAAAUGUUGGACGAAAAAGAACGCAUCUUUUUACGGAAGAGUACAAUAGCGGACAAACAGUUUCCUAAAAGACCGAGCAUAAUAAAAAUCGGUUGACAGUACUUUCUGAUAUUUGAAUUGGCGUUCGAACUAUUUACAAUUACAUAGUACAGCUCAAAAACAAUAUAAAAUUCAUUUAUGAUGUGAGUGAUGGGAAAAUGUCUGCCAACAAUAUCUUUGUUACAUAAAUCUUUGACAUUUUUAAUUCUACUUGUAUUCAUAAGUAAACGAUUCAUCAUGGUUUUCCGUCUUCUGUCGAUAUAAACGUUGGUAACAAAUUCAGCCAGGCUACGUAAACUGUCGCCAAGAUCUCUUUCGUUGUUACAAACACGCAAUCGUAGUUUGUGUUUAGAUAUACUGGAAUAAUCUUUGCCGAGAUUAUUUUCAGAAAACAUCCUUCUAUAUGUUUAUGGAUUGUUUGCAACAGUUGCUUAUGAGAUAAAGAGCAAAAAGCGAUAUAAUCAAGUUGCGUCUUGCGUCUGAAAAACGUUAUAACGUUAUUAUA